RNAcentral lists this ribosomal RNA (393 nucleotides) under Staphylococcus pseudintermedius. Its description in RNAcentral is "bacterial SSU rRNA". It matches the Rfam family "Bacterial small subunit ribosomal RNA", at positions 1133 to 1524 of the family's 1533-position model. The record is from RNAcentral. Lineage: Bacteria; Bacillati; Bacillota; Bacilli; Caryophanales; Staphylococcaceae.
GGGCACUCUAAGUUGACUGCCGGUGACAAACCGGAGGAAGGUGGGGAUGACGUCAAAUCAUCAUGCCCCUUAUGAUUUGGGCUACACACGUGCUACAAUGGACAAUACAAAGGGCAGCGAAACCGCGAGGUCAAGCAAAUCCCAUAAAGUUGUUCUCAGUUCGGAUUGUAGUCUGCAACUCGACUACAUGAAGCUGGAAUCGCUAGUAAUCGUAGAUCAGCAUGCUACGGUGAAUACGUUCCCGGGUCUUGUACACACCGCCCGUCACACCACGAGAGUUUGUAACACCCGAAGCCGGUGGAGUAACCAUUUUGGAGCUAGCCGUCGAAGGUGGGACAAAUGAUUGGGGUGAAGUCGUAACAAGGUAGCCGUAUCGGAAGGUGCGGCUGGAUC